Molecule: transfer RNA, 69 nt
Filed under: Epomophorus labiatus (Little epauletted fruit bat)
Lineage: Eukaryota; Metazoa; Chordata; Mammalia; Chiroptera; Pteropodidae
Description: tRNA-Trp
Source: RNAcentral
AGGAGCUUAGGUUAACCCCAGACCGAGGGCCUUCAAAGCCCCAAGUAAAUGAACUACAUUUAGCUCCUG